Cercocebus atys (sooty mangabey) is the source of this 200-nucleotide long non-coding RNA. RefSeq lists it as uncharacterized. The transcript has 3 exons. Lineage: Eukaryota; Metazoa; Chordata; Mammalia; Primates; Cercopithecidae. The record is from RefSeq and is a predicted model, not a curated record.
GCUUUCAGCAUUGAUCUCACCUCCUCGAAGAUGACAUAUCUGAUCCCUCUGUCUAAAUAAGCUUCAGUAGGGUUGCCUGGUGCUUACUUAGGUCACCGCUGGAACCUCAUUUCCUGGCAUGGUCAAAUGAAUUAAUGAACAAAUGAAGGCACAUGUAAAUUUGGAGUCCCAUUUCUUCUCCAGAAGCAAUCUUUACCCCC